UACGAGUGGUGCAAGCGUUAUUCGGAAUCAUUGGGCGUAAAGGGUGUGUAGGCGGCAUAUUAAGUCAACUGUUAAAUUCUCCGGCCUAACCGGAGGCCAGCUGUAGAUACUGAUGUGCUCGAGUGUGGAAGAGAGAGGCGGAAUUCUCGGAGUAGCGGUAAAAUGCGUAGAUCUCGAGAGGAACACCAAUGGCGAAGGCAGCCUCUUGGUCCACUACUGACGCUGAAACACGAAAGCGUGGGGAGCAAACAGG
This 253-nucleotide ribosomal RNA is filed under the name uncultured bacterium. RNAcentral's name for it is "partial 16S ribosomal RNA". It matches the Rfam family "Bacterial small subunit ribosomal RNA", at positions 524 to 776 of the family's 1533-position model. The record is from RNAcentral.